GACGAACGCUGGCGGCAUGCCUAAUACAUGCAAGUCGAACGCUGAAGCACUCUGCUUGCAGAGUGCGGAUGAGUGGCGAACGGGUGAGUAACACGUGGGAAAUCUGCCUAUAAGAGGGGGAUAACAUUCGGAAACGGAUGCUAAUACCGCAUAUAUUCUUGGACCGCCUGGUCCUUGAAAGAAAGACGGCUUUGCUGUCGCUUAUAGAUGAUCCCGCGGCGUAUUAGUUAGUUGGUGGGGUAAAGGCCUACCAAGACAAUGAUACGUAGCCGACCUGAGAGGGUGAUCGGCCACACUGGGACUGAGACACGGCCCAGACUCCUACGGGAGGCAGCAGUAGGGAAUCUUCCACAAUGGGCGAAAGCCUGAUGGAGCAAUGUCGCGUGAAUGAAGAAGGUCUUCGGAUCGUAAAGUUCUGUUAUUAGAGAAGAACAAGUCAAGGAGUAACUGUCUUGACUUUGACGGUACCUAACCAGAAAGUCACGGCUAACUACGUG
This 497-nucleotide ribosomal RNA is filed under the name uncultured bacterium. Its description in RNAcentral is "partial 16S ribosomal RNA". It matches the Rfam family "Bacterial small subunit ribosomal RNA", at positions 28 to 507 of the family's 1533-position model. The record is from RNAcentral.